GAACACUUAACUCAGUUGGUCAGAGUGCUUCUCUUACAAAGAAGCUGUCAAGAGUUCGAUCCUCUUAGUGUUCU
RNAcentral lists this transfer RNA (74 nucleotides) under Pseudomonadota bacterium. Its description in RNAcentral is "Proteobacteria bacterium (activated sludge metagenome) tRNA-Val". It matches the Rfam family "tRNA". Rfam says of the family: Transfer RNA (tRNA) molecules are approximately 80 nucleotides in length. Their secondary structure includes four short double-helical elements and three loops (D, anti-codon, and T loops). The record is from RNAcentral. Lineage: Bacteria; Pseudomonadati; Pseudomonadota.